RNAcentral lists this ribosomal RNA (474 nucleotides) under uncultured organism. RNAcentral describes it as "partial 16S ribosomal RNA". It matches the Rfam family "Bacterial small subunit ribosomal RNA", at positions 330 to 800 of the family's 1533-position model. The record is from RNAcentral.
CGUACACUCCUACGGGAGGCAGCAGUGAGGAAUAUUGGACAAUGGGUGGAAGCCUGAUCCAGCCAUCCCGCGUGCAGGAAGACGGCCCUAUGGGUUGUAAACUGCUUUUAUCUGGGGAUAAACCUACUUACGUGUAAGUAGCUGAAGGUACCAGAAGAAUAAGCACCGGCUAACUCCGUGCCAGCAGCCGCGGUAAUACGGAGGGUGCAAGCGUUAUCCGGAUUUAUUGGGUUUAAAGGGUCCGUAGGCGGACUGAUAAGUCAGUGGUGAAAUCCGACAGCUUAACUGUCGAACUGCCAUUGAUACUGUUAGUCUUGAGUAAGGUUGAAGUGGCUGGAAUAAGUAGUGUAGCGGUGAAAUGCAUAGAUAUUACUUAGAACACCAAUUGCGAAGGCAGGUCACUAAGUCUUAACUGACGCUGAUGGACGAAAGCGUGGGGAGCGAACAGGAUUAGAAACCCUUGUAGUCCCAUGA